AAUGAACGCUGGCGGCGCGCCUAAUACAUGCAAGUCGAGCGAGAAGACGUAGCAAUACGUUUGUAAAGCGGCGAACAGGUGAGGAAUACAUGGGUAACCUACCCUCGAGUGGGGAAUAACUAGCCGAAAGGUUAGCUAAUACCGCGUACGCUCCUUGGACUUCGGUUCAGGGAGGAAAGCGAUACCGUGGGUAUCGCGCUCUUGGUUGGGCUCAUGUCCUAUCAGCUUGUUGGUGAGGUAACGGCUCACCAAGGCUUCGACGGGUAGCUGGUCUGAGAGGACGAUCAGCCACACUGGCACUGCGACACGGGCCAGACUCCUACGGGAGGCAGCAGUAAGGAAUAUUGCGCAAUGGGCGAAAGCCUGACGCAGCGACGCCGCGUGGGGGAUGAAGGU
Molecule: ribosomal RNA, 396 nt
Filed under: uncultured bacterium
Lineage: Bacteria
Description: bacterial SSU rRNA
Rfam family: Bacterial small subunit ribosomal RNA
Source: RNAcentral